AAGGAUCAUUAUCGAAUAAACUUGAAUAGGCUGUUGCUGGUCCCAGGACGAUGUGCACAUUUGUCAUCUUUAUCAUUUCUCCCAACGGUGCACGUAUUGUAGACCCUGGAUGGAGGUUUUGGAUUCAUUCCGAGUGGGGACUGCUGUGCUUCCGAAGAGAGGUCGGCUUUCCCUUUUCAUCCUCCAGGUCUAUGUCAUUUCCUUUCACAACCUUCCAUGUCUAGAAUGUUGAGUCAAGAUCCUUUUUGUACCUAUAAAAAAAGUUAUACAACUUUCAGCAACGGAUCUCUUGGCUCUC
This 298-nucleotide unclassified non-coding RNA is filed under the name uncultured fungus. RNAcentral's name for it is "partial contains 18S rRNA, ITS1, 5.8S rRNA, ITS2 and 28S rRNA". The record is from RNAcentral. Lineage: Eukaryota; Fungi.